Molecule: unclassified non-coding RNA, 315 nt
Filed under: Armillaria sp.
Lineage: Eukaryota; Fungi; Basidiomycota; Agaricomycetes; Agaricales; Physalacriaceae
Description: partial internal transcribed spacer region
Rfam family: Eukaryotic small subunit ribosomal RNA (bases 1-46)
Source: RNAcentral
AAGUCGUAACAAGGUUUCCGUAGGUGAACCUGCGGAAGGAUCAUUAUUGAAACUUGAAUCGUAGCAUUGAGAACUGUUGCUGACCUGUUAAAGGGUAUGUGCACGUUCGACGUGUUGCGUUCUAUUCAUCCACCUGUGCACCUUUGUAGACUUGAUUAACUUUCGCUCUGGAGCGGUUAGAAGGGUUGCUUUCGAGCUCCCUUUGUCUAUCAAGUCUAUGUCUAUAUAAUCUCUUGUAUGUCUAGAAUGUCUUGUUUAUGGGACGCAAGUCCUUUAAAUCUUAUACAACUUUCAACAACGGAUCUCUUGGCUCUC